GCUUGCUUCUCUUGAGAGCGGCGGACGGGUGAGUAAUGCCUAGGAAUCUGCCUGGUAGUGGGGGAUAACGUUCGGAAACGGACGCUAAUACCGCAUACGUCCUACGGGAGAAAGCAGGGGACCUUCGGGCCUUGCGCUAUCAGAUGAGCCUAGGUCGGAUUAGCUAGUUGGUGAGGUAAUGGCUCACCAAGGCGACGAUCCGUAACUGGUCUGAGAGGAUGAUCAGUCACACUGGAACUGAGACACGGUCCAGACUCCUACGGGAGGCAGCAGUGGGGAAUAUUGGACAAUGGGCGAAAGCCUGAUCCAGCCAUGCCGCGUGUGUGAAGAAGGUCUUCGGAUUGUAAAGCACUUUAAGUUGGGAGGAAGGGCAUUAACCUAAUACGUUAGUGUUUUGACGUUACCGACAGAAUAAGCACCGGCUAACUCUGUGCCAGCAGCCGCGGUAAUACAGAGGGUGCAAGCGUUAAUCGGAAUUACUGGGCGUAAAGCGCGCGUAGGUGGUUUGUUAAGUUGGAUGUGAAAUCCCCGGGCUCAACCUGGGAACUGCAUUCAAAACUGACUGACUAGAGUAUGGUAGAGGGUGGUGGAAUUUCCUGUGUAGCGGUGAAAUGCGUAGAUAUAGGAAGGAACACCAGUGGCGAAGGCGACCACCUGGACUAAUACUGACACUGAGGUGCGAAAGCGUGGGGAGCAAACAGGAUUAGAUACCCUGGUAGUCC
Molecule: ribosomal RNA, 722 nt
Filed under: Pseudomonas sp.
Lineage: Bacteria; Pseudomonadati; Pseudomonadota; Gammaproteobacteria; Pseudomonadales; Pseudomonadaceae
Description: bacterial SSU rRNA
Rfam family: Bacterial small subunit ribosomal RNA
Source: RNAcentral